This 524-nucleotide ribosomal RNA is filed under the name fungal sp. YWZKDF1. Its description in RNAcentral is "eukaryotic LSU rRNA". The stretch from base 159 to 312 matches the Rfam family "5.8S ribosomal RNA". Lineage: Eukaryota; Fungi. The record is from RNAcentral.
AAUGAGGCGGGCUGGAACCUCUCGGGGUUACAGCCUUGCUGAAUUAUUCACCCUUGUCUUUUGCGUACUUCUUGUUUCCUUGGUGGGUUCGCCCACCACUAGGACAAACAUAAACCUUUUGUAAUUGCAAUCAGCGUCAGUAACAAAUUAAUAAUUACAACUUUCAACAACGGAUCUCUUGGUUCUGGCAUCGAUGAAGAACGCAGCGAAAUGCGAUAAGUAGUGUGAAUUGCAGAAUUCAGUGAAUCAUCGAAUCUUUGAACGCACAUUGCGCCCUUUGGUAUUCCAAAGGGCAUGCCUGUUCGAGCGUCAUUUGUACCCUCAAGCUUUGCUUGGUGUUGGGCGUCUUGUCUCUAGCUUUGCUGGAGACUCGCCUUAAAGUAAUUGGCAGCCGGCCUACUGGUUUCGGAGCGCAGCACAAGUCGCACUCUCUAUCAGCAAAGGUCUAGCAUCCAUUAAGCCUUUUUUUCAACUUUUGACCUCGGAUCAGGUAGGGAUACCCGCUGAACUUAAGCAUAUCAAAA